UUGCUUCAGCAGCACAUAUACUAAAAAACUGGAACAAUACAGAGAUUAUCAUGGCCCCUGAAUAAGGGUGACUCAUAAAUUCAUGAAUCGUUCCAUAUUUUU
Cricetulus griseus (Chinese hamster) is the source of this 102-nucleotide small nuclear RNA. The record is from Ensembl. NCBI's taxonomy places the organism in Eukaryota, Metazoa, Chordata, Mammalia, Rodentia, Cricetidae.